Aethalodelphis obliquidens (Pacific white-sided dolphin) is the source of this 1395-nucleotide long non-coding RNA. RefSeq lists it as uncharacterized. The transcript has 3 exons. Lineage: Eukaryota; Metazoa; Chordata; Mammalia; Artiodactyla; Delphinidae. The record is from RefSeq and is a predicted model, not a curated record.
CUGACCAGGGAUUGAACCUGGGCCCAUAGCAGUGAAAGCGUGGAGUCCUAACCACUGCACCGCCACACCAGGGAAUUCCCUUGGGUAAGUUUUGGACACAGGCUUUUGCUAGUUUCUGUGGCCAUACAUGGAUAACUUAGUUUAAUUUAGCUUCAGUGUUAGGCUUGCACCUGUGUUGUCGUGUGUGAGAAAAACACUGACCUUCAAAUAGUGAGAAUCCUAGCCUUAGAUCAGUUAUGGAAUUUCUGUAUGACCCUGGGAAAGUCCUUUCUCCACUCUGGGUUCAAGUUACACAUCUGUAAAAUGAAACAAUUGUUUGAGAUUUCUUCCAUCUCUGAAUUGAGGUUCAUUAACAUAUGCCUCUUUUUUAGGAGCAGUAGGAGAUGAGUUCAAGUUUUCCCCAGUGUUACUGAAACUGACAGGUCAUCAUGCUUCAGUUUCUGGCCAGAAUCUUUCUUCUGCAGCCCCUGUUGGCUAUCAGCCCUAAUCCCUCCCUCCAGCGCUGUCUGGUCAACUGCAUUUUCUCUCUUCCCUAGCAUGUCCUCAGAAUCCUUCCGGCAGAGUGAGUGCAGGAGCUGCAAAGAACAUCUAAAGGGUCCAAGAGAAGUUCUUGAUCUGAGCACUUCCUGUCUCAAUAUUUAUUGUCUACCAAACACAGUUAAUCCGCCCCAUCUUGCAGAGUGACAGAGGAGACCUGACACCUGCUCAUUUUGCUUUUACUGAGUGGGUCUCCCUGGAGACAGGUGGUAGAUUGUACCUAAUGAUGACUGUGAGGUCUCCUGGUAUGAAGAAAACACACACACACAAACACAAACACACACACAUUCUAGCUUCAAAGCCCAGACCAAGCUGGUAACAAUGGGUUCUGUCUCUAAUUAGAUGGUCAAGAACAUGCUCCAGUCAGUCCUUGAAUCCACAGAAUCAAACCAGCGUCUCAUCGUGGGGAGCGUCAUUAGCAUGAGCGUCAUCGACAUCAUCAUUACCAUCAUCAUCACCAUCACGCUAGUGGAAACACAGUUCUGUCCAACAAAUAAUAAUUGAGCCUUGACUCUGUUCUGGACACUGGAAUACAUGCCGGGGGAGAGAGAGCAAAAUGAACUUGUUCCAUCACGAGACGCUCCCAAACUUCUCAUGCCAUCAGGUUCAGGCUUGAAGUCCAGGAUCUCGUCUUUGGUAUCAUUUCCAGUUUCAGGUAUACAGCAAAGUGAGAGAUUGGUUCAAGAUGGCAGAAUAGGACGUGUGCUCACUCCCUCUUGCGAGAGCACUGGAAACACAACGAACUGCUGAACAAUUAUUGACAGGAAGACACUGGAACUCACCAAAAAAGAUACCCCACAUCCAAAGACAAAGGAGAAGCCACAGUGAGACGGUAGGAGGGGCGCAAUCACAAUCAAA